This is a long non-coding RNA of Macadamia integrifolia, 1626 nucleotides long. RefSeq lists it as uncharacterized. NCBI's taxonomy places the organism in Eukaryota, Viridiplantae, Streptophyta, Magnoliopsida, Proteales, Proteaceae. The transcript has 2 exons. The record is from RefSeq and is a predicted model, not a curated record.
AAUUCUAACACUCAAUAUAGGAAUGAGAUACUCUCAAGUGCACAUCAGACAGUUGGGAGCCCCUUGGCAUGGGCGACCCUGUGUUGGAAUGGGUGCCCGAGUGGUCCUAAUUGUCAGAUGCAUGUUGGGCACCCAACCGAGCUAGAGAGAAUUCAGAUCUCUUAAUAUAUAAGGGUUAUCCUUCUCAAGCAAGAGUGAGAAAGAAUUUCUUCAUUCCUCAUCUCUAUAAUUUUAGUUUUCUCAUUGAGAGGUAUGUCAUGUGUUUCUCUAAAUGCUGAUUAAGUCUGGAAUGUUUGAGCUCAAUAUCAACCCAAAUUUUAUAUGGUAAAUAUUUUUUUGCUCUACAAAUAGAUGUCCUUUAACACCUAUAGUUUUCAGAUUUGAUUUCUUUUACCGAGUUUAGUUUGUUUUGAUUUAAUUAGAACUGGUGAAGGGAGUGGUACAAGAUAGGUCAUCAAUUUUAAGUCCAAGAGCUAUAUCAAUUUUUUUCUUUUAUGCACUGAAAAAGACCUAGUGGAAACAAUAAUCCUCCUUAAGGAGAAUUCGCACAUUCCAUCUAGUGCUCUAAAUGCAUAAAAGAAAUUAAAAAAAUGGUGGUAUCUACUAUAAGGAGAGUUCUGAACAAAGUACCACAUUAGUUUGGCAUCCUAUUCACCGUUGGAUAUUAUCAUUUUUGGGUCAAAGGCGAGAGAUGAGAUUUACCACAUCAAAUGGUGAACACCAGGGAUACAUGAUGCUAAUGUGAUCUCCAUCCAGUAUCUUUGUUGCAAGAAGAGGUAUCCAAUUUUUGAAGGAUAAAAUGCUAGAAUUUGCAGAGAAGCCAGGGUGGAUGAAUCAAAUUUGUAGCUCCGAGUUAUUCAGGGCCCGACUAGAGGUUGCUGCACAGGAGUCUUGUGUGUGUGUGUGUGUGUGUAUGCUGGUGUGUUUACGAAGUUACGGCAGCUUUAUGAUCCUCUCAUAGGCUUUGGAUGACACAACCUGAUCUGCCCAAGAGACCAAAGUUUCUGAAAGAUUUCGUGAUAAGCAUAAAACCCAUCACUCAAUAAGCAGUUGCCGCGUGGCACCCGACAACUCAUCAUCCAAACCAGAUGAAUACUAAAGAUAUCUGCGUGAAGUAAGUAACCUCGGAUCUCGGAUCCAAGGAAGAUCUGUCCUUCCCUCGAUAACAGAAUCACAGACAGACUCAAUCUCUCUAAAAGGGAAAGAGCUGGAGCAAUUUCCCUUGGACAGAGGGAUACUCUACGUUAAAGAAGGGAACUCGUGGAGGCACUUGGUUUUUGUAUCCAGGGGAAGCUGUUUGUGCUUGGUAGCGUGGACAUAUGAUCCCAUCCUCGACAUUGGGAUCGGUGAGCAUCUGCUAGUACCUUGUUCCAUGGGCAGUCAGCAGUACUGGUCUUGGAGAAUGGUGGGUGUCAAAGACUAGGAGUGGUUGAAGGACCCAAAGGCAGUAACGAGGUCGUUUUCAAUUUGGAUAAGGAGCCAUGGAUAUGGAAAACAGUGGCAGAAGUGUUGAUUGCUUGUACUUUUAUGCUGGAUUUUACAAUGAUCGAAAUAAGAGAUGAACUUUAUUGGAGAGGAAGAAAUCUAUGUCGUUACAAUUGGAAUCAAGAGACCAACUUUACACCA